RNAcentral lists this ribosomal RNA (274 nucleotides) under uncultured bacterium. Its description in RNAcentral is "partial 16S ribosomal RNA". It matches the Rfam family "Bacterial small subunit ribosomal RNA", at positions 523 to 796 of the family's 1533-position model. The record is from RNAcentral.
AUACGGAGGGUGCGAGCGUUACUCGGAGUCACUGGGCGUAAAGCGUCCGUAGGCGGUCGGGUAAGUCGGGUGUGAAAGCCCCGGGCUCAACCUGGGAAGUGCACCCGAUACUGCUCGACUCGAGUGCGGGAGAGGAUGGGGGAAUUCCCGGUGUAGCGGUGAAAUGCGUAGAGAUCGGGAGGAACACCAGUGGCGAAGGCGGCCAUCUGGCCCGCAACUGACGCUGAGGGACGAAAGCGUGGGGAGCAAACAGGAUUAGAAACCCUAGUAGUCC